ACUCAAAGGAAUAGACGGGGGCCCGCACAAGCGGUGGAUCAUGUGGUUUAAUUCGAAGCAACGCGAAGAACCUUACCUGGAUUUGACAUCCUCGGACAACCCUAGAGAUAGGGCUUCAGUAGCAAUACUGCCGGGAGACAGGUGCUGCAUGGCUGUCGUCAGCUCGUGUGGUGACAUGUUGGGUUAAGUCCCGCAACGAGCGCAACCCUUGUCUUUAGUUGCCAGCAUUCAGUUGGGCACUCUAAAGAGACUGCCGUGGUGAACACGGAGGAAGGUGGGGAUGACGUCAAGUCCUCAUGGCCUUUAUAUCCAGGGCGACACACGUGAUACAAUGGAUGGUACAGAGGGAAGCCAAAGCGCAAGCUGGAGCCAAUCUCAAAAAGCCAUUCUCAGUUCGGAUUGGAGUCUGCAACUCGACUCCAUGAAGUUGGAAUCGCUAGUAAUCGCGGAUCAGCACGCCGCGGUGAAUACGUUCCCGGGCCUUGUACACACCGCCCGU
RNAcentral lists this ribosomal RNA (499 nucleotides) under uncultured bacterium. RNAcentral's name for it is "partial 16S ribosomal RNA". It matches the Rfam family "Bacterial small subunit ribosomal RNA", at positions 899 to 1397 of the family's 1533-position model. The record is from RNAcentral.